This is an RNA transcript of Tigriopus californicus, 2908 nucleotides long. RefSeq lists it as uncharacterized. The transcript has 5 exons. The record is from RefSeq and is a predicted model, not a curated record. Lineage: Eukaryota; Metazoa; Arthropoda; Copepoda; Harpacticoida; Harpacticidae.
CAAAGUGCACGAAUAUACUGUACAUUCCUUUGAAUUGGCGAGCUGGAGCUAAAAAUCAUCAAAUUAAACACCUGAAUGGUGUCAUGAGUGAUAGAUAAACGGAUUGAGUUCUCUUGGAAGUCAUUCAUGAGCAGGAAACAUUCCCAUUAUUGUCAAGUUUGUAUCCAUUUCGAAUUCCCAUGCCUUGAGGACAUCUCUCAAGGCACAAAGAAUCUUGUUUCACCCCAAGUCAACGACUUUCAGGCCAUCCAGCGGAGCAUCUACCAUCAUAUCAUCUAUUGGAAGAGCCUUUCAGGUAUCUCUUGUCCACGUCCAAAAGUGAGGGGACUCACUUCUACGGUAUGCUGGAGAGGUGUAUGCCUCCAUGUGCGUGAAGAUCCAUCCACACUCUCGAUCGAGUACGUGCCGGCACGUUAUGUGAGCAACAACCAUUGGUUGGUUGACUUGACGGGCUGGUUAGAAUACCAUCAUGUAUCAAGCCCACCUCUACAGGCAGGCCAGGUGAUUUUUAAAUCCAACAAUUUACAACGAAUAUUGUCCGAGGUAUAAGGGAGAGUGUGUGUGUGUAUGAGUGUGUUGUUGAUGUGGUAGUCGUUGCAUCACAACAACAGUCUUUGGAGGUUUUAAUCAAACAGGUGCCACACCUACCAAUACAAAAACACACAAUAGCAACAACCAAGGGAAGAAUGAACCCAAAAGGUGGCAGUGACUAAUAAUCGUGCCUCUAUUGAACGAAUACGAGUGACCUGAAUUGUGAUUUGGAAAUCGGUGAAGAGUUCAAGGCCGUUGAGGCAUGACCCUGAGAGCCCACUAACCAACUCAAAGUGCAUCAAAAUGUCACGUUUCGACAGCAGUGAUCCCAACGAUCGGUUUCGACCCUUUGAUCCCACACUCACCAACCCAGACUAUGAAGACUUCGAGGAGCUCCACCCACCCAUAGAGUAUGAGCUGGAAGCCAUUGAUUGGGCCACCAUGAUCUCACGGGGAGUGGUGAUCCUCAUCUUCCUUAUCGCCUACAUCCUAGUUUUUGUGAAUGUGGCUCGAGGCAAAAAGCUCAAAAAUUGGCGGCUCUACUCGCUCGUGGCCUUGACCUUGUUCUGUUGGCUCUCCAUGGCCUUUUACCAAGAUCACAUUGACGAGUACUUUGUGCACAAAGUCACGCUGUUCCCGGCACCGAGAUCGAUCUAUUGGUGUGUGAGGAAUCUGCUCCAUGGGAUCACGUUGUACAUGAUAGUUCUUCUUUUGUGUCAUCUCUCGGACUUCCAACAUCGCGGGAUCUGGAUUCUGUUCGUGAGCAUGGUGGUGUGUGUCCCCCUGUUCUAUUCCAUUGCAGUUCUCAUCAUUGAUCUCCGAGUUCCCGAGCAAUCUCGGCGGAGUUGGGAGUGGAACAUUGGCAUUGCAGCCACCAAAACCUUUCUCUACAACUUGCUCACGUCGAUCAUUCUCUUCGUGUUCACCAUAAGGUUUUGUACGAGCCGGCUCUAUGGGACUUACGAAGAACGAAGAAGCACAUUGGUGGUGGUCGUGUCCAGAUGGGUGUUUGUCUUCUUUAUUCUUCACAAUCUCAUUGCCAUUGCUUCUUUUGGCACUUCGGUAGCCAUUCGAGUCCCUGGCCUCUUAGAUAACCUUCACCCGGCCACCUUAGCUCACCGGAUCCUGGACGAAUUGGCCUUCCUCAUCAUCGUGCUGGCCAUUCCCGUGUCUUACUUGUUCGGUGUCCUUUGUUCGGGAUGCUGCGGCAGGGGACGACAAAGGGAAGUGGAAAUGGACAAGAUGGACAAAAUCUACCAAGAGGUGUGGUCCACUAAUGGGAAUCAACCCAGAAAGGGCCGCAACGGCUCCGUGAUCACGAAUUCAACCCAAGUGAAUACUGAUCCGGCGGCACCCAGAUCUAAUCGAUCCACACACAUGGGCAGCCAACUUAAUGUGGGAUCAUCCACCUCGAUGGCGGGCUCUGUCAAUGGAUCCAUGGGAGGGUCUAAUCUCUCCAUUAAUCGCAGAGAGAACAAUGCCGAGCUGACCACCAGUGAAAAGCGCAAGAAACGCGAGUCUUACCUGGAGGCCAUGUCCAUGGGAAGUAUUGACGAGAGGACCUCGGGCAGGUCUUCGGUCACAAGUGAGCCUAUUGAUUUGUGAGCUUCAUGUCUGGUCCAAAUGCAAGCAAGUCUGAUCAAAAGAACAAAACAUAUAUCCUUGAACAUACUCAAUAUGUGAGCGUUUUACAGAAAUAACAUGUACACGAUUUGAGAAAACAAAUACAUGUCACCCCACCAAUCCUACUAAUAAUGUUGUGAGGGUGGAUUUUGAAUUUGCAGCCACUAACUUUGCACAUAUAAAUCUUGUUCCAAAACUAUGGGAACGAUAAUGCCCUCAAAGCCACAAAAGCCGAAAGGCAACGACUACUCCGGAUCUCCAAAAAGUGACGCAAAAUGAGGUUCUGGUCAAGGAAUUCUAUCGGCUAUUGCAAAUGAUUAACUGAAAAAUGGAUGCGUUGAUUGAGAAGACACAGGCUAAACUGCUUUGACAUGGCUGUUUGUUCAGAUGUCAUUAAUGCAUUGGGAUAAAAUGAUAAUAUGUACCUGUUAUCAACUAAGAGCCAUCAACAAUGAAAACAUGCAAUACAUAAUCUCGAUUCAAGAGACAGACUCAAGGCUCUUGUUUUGGAUUUGCGAGUUUAACUGCCAAUUUUUUACCGUUGUGCAGAGAUGCCAGUUGAUUUAUUUCAUCUAAAAAACAGCCCAAAAAAAAAACCGUAGCAAAUAAUGGACUUUCCUAUAUUUAUAGAAUACGCGCAAUAAAUUGUUUUAGCACUAAAAUGUUUCCAUUGACAGGAAGUAAUUACUGACUACUGGAGAUUAAUAGCUUACCUUUUAAGAGGUAUAUGUAGGUAGUUUGUACACUUACAUUC